Molecule: ribosomal RNA, 248 nt
Filed under: Amblyomma flavomaculatum
Lineage: Eukaryota; Metazoa; Arthropoda; Arachnida; Ixodida; Ixodidae
Description: partial large subunit ribosomal RNA
Source: RNAcentral
AAUGCUAAGAGAAUGAAUUAACAAAAAAAUUCUUUUUUAACUUUAAAAAUUAAAUUUAUUUUUGUCUGUGCAGAAACAACAAUUAAAAUUAAAGACAAGAAGACCCUAAGAAUUUUAAUUAAUUUUUAAAAAACUUUUUUUAAAAAUUAAUUUAAUUGGGGCGAUUAAUAAAUACAAGUAACUUUAUUUAAAAUAAAAUGAUCCAUUAAUAUUGAUUUUAUGAAUAAAAUACUCUAGGGAUAACAGCG